UACGUAGGGUGCAAGCGUUAUCCGGAUUCACUGGGUUUAAAGGGUGCGUAGGUGGGCAGGUAAGUCAGUGGUGAAAUCUCCGGGCUUAACCCGGAAACUGCCAUUGAUACUAUCAGUCUUGAAUACCGUGGAGGUAAGCGGAAUAUGUCAUGUAGCGGUGAAAUGCUUAGAUAUGACAUAGAACACCAAUUGCGAAGGCAGCUUACUACCCGAAUAUUGACACUGAGGCACGAAAGCGUGGGGAUCAAACAGG
RNAcentral lists this ribosomal RNA (253 nucleotides) under uncultured bacterium. RNAcentral's name for it is "partial 16S ribosomal RNA". It matches the Rfam family "Bacterial small subunit ribosomal RNA", at positions 524 to 776 of the family's 1533-position model. The record is from RNAcentral.